This 379-nucleotide ribosomal RNA is filed under the name uncultured eukaryote. Its description in RNAcentral is "partial 18S ribosomal RNA". It matches the Rfam family "Eukaryotic small subunit ribosomal RNA", at positions 592 to 976 of the family's 1831-position model. The record is from RNAcentral.
CAAUAGCGUAUAUUUAAGUUGUUGCAGUUAAAAAGCUCGUAGUUGGAUUUCGGAUGGGAUUUGCCGGUCCGUCGUUACGAUGUGCACUGGCCAGUCCUAUCUUGUUGUCGGGGACUAGCUCCUUGGAUUCACUUCCUGGGACUAGGAGCUGACGAGGUUACUUUGAGUAAAUUAGAGUGUUCAAAGCAAGCCUACGCUCUGAAUACAUUAGUAUGGAAUAACACGAUAGGACUCUGGCUUAUCUUGUUGGUCUGUGAGACCAGAGUAAUGAUUAAGAGGGACAGUCGGGGACAUUCGUAUUUCAUUGUCAGAGGUGAAAUUCUUGGAUUUAUGAAAGACGAACUUCUGCGAAAGCAUUUGUCAAGGAUGUUCUCAUUAA